GUAAGGCCCUUCGGGGUACACGAGCGGCGAACGGGUGAGUAACACGUGAGCAACCUGCCCCUGACUCCGGGAUAAGCGGUGGAAACGCCGUCUAAUACCGGAUACGACCCGCCACCUCAUGGUGGAGGGUGGAAAGUUUUUCGGUCAGGGAUGGGCUCGCGGCCUAUCAGCUUGUUGGUGGGGUAACGGCCUACCAAGGCGAUUACGGGUAGCCGGCCUGAGAGGGCGACCGGCCACACUGGGACUGAGACACGGCCCAGACUCCUGCGGGAGGCAGCAGUGGGGAAUAUUGCGCAAUGGGCGAAAGCCUGACGCAGCGACGCCGCGUGGGGGAUGACGGCCUUCGGGUUGUAAACCUCUUUUACCACCAACGCAGGCUCGAAGUUCUCUUCGGGUUGACGGUAGGUGGGGAAUAAGGACCGGCUAACUACGUGCCAGCAGCCGCGGUAAUACGUAGGGUCCGAGCGUUGUCCGGAAUUAUUGGGCGUAAAGAGCUCGUAGGCGGCGUGUCGCGUCUGCUGUGAAAGACCGGGGCUUAACUCCGGUUCUGCAGUGGAUACGGGCAUGCUAGAGGUAGGUAGGGGAGACUGGAAUUCCUGGUGUAGCGGUGAAAUGCGCAGAUAUCAGGAGGAACACCGGUGGCGAAGGCGGGUCUCUGGGCCUUACCUGACGCUGAGGAGCGAAAGCAUGGGGAGCGAACAGGAUUAGAUACCCUGGUAG
RNAcentral lists this ribosomal RNA (720 nucleotides) under Nocardiopsis sp. 7-96. Its description in RNAcentral is "bacterial SSU rRNA". It matches the Rfam family "Bacterial small subunit ribosomal RNA", at positions 69 to 793 of the family's 1533-position model. Lineage: Bacteria; Bacillati; Actinomycetota; Actinomycetes; Streptosporangiales; Nocardiopsidaceae. The record is from RNAcentral.